UGGCAAUCGGCAGCUACACAUGCAGUCGAGGGGUAGGGGGUGCUUGCACCCCUGAGACCGGCGCACGGGUGCGGAACGCGUAUGGAACCUGCCCCUGUCAGGGGAAUAGCCCAGGGAAACUUGGAUUAAUGCCCCAUGGUAUCAUUACAUCGCAUGAUGUUGUGAUUAAAGAUUUAUCGGACAGGGAUGGCCAUGCGUACCAUUAGCUUGAUGGUGGGGUAACGGCCCACCAUGGCAACGAUGGUUAGGGGCCCUGAGAGGGGGAUCCCCCACACUGGUACUGAGACACGGACCAGACUCCUACGGGAGGCAGCAGUGAGGAAUAUUGGACAAUGGUCGGAAGACUGAUCCAGCCAUGCCGCGUGCAGGAUGACGGCCCUAUGGGUUGUAAACUGCUUUUAUACGGGAAGAAACCCACCUACGUGUAGGUGGCUGACGGUACCGUAAGAAUAAGGACCGGCUAACUCCGUGCCAGCAGCCGCGGUAAUACGGAGGGUCCGAGCGUUAUCCGGAAUCAUUGGGUUUAAAGGGUCCGUAGGCGGGCCUGUAAGUCAGGGGUGAAAGUUUGUGGCUCAACCAUAAAAUUGCCUUUGAUACUGCAGGUCUUGAGUCAUGGUGGGGUUGCCGGAACAUGUGGUGUAGCGGUGAAAUGCAUAGAUAUCACAUAGAACACCGAUCGCGAAGGCAGGUGACCAACCAUGUACUGACGC
Molecule: ribosomal RNA, 710 nt
Filed under: Allomuricauda sp.
Lineage: Bacteria; Pseudomonadati; Bacteroidota; Flavobacteriia; Flavobacteriales; Flavobacteriaceae
Description: bacterial SSU rRNA
Rfam family: Bacterial small subunit ribosomal RNA
Source: RNAcentral